RNAcentral lists this long non-coding RNA (240 nucleotides) under Sorghum bicolor (sorghum). Its description in RNAcentral is "long non-coding RNA (SBIC_LNC004729)". Lineage: Eukaryota; Viridiplantae; Streptophyta; Magnoliopsida; Poales; Poaceae. The record is from RNAcentral.
GAUCAAGAAUAACAUAGUACCACCUCACCUACCGACCCAAAAACGCAUAGAGGAGGAGGACUAUAUAAGGAGACCCCCCUGGCCCCUGGAGAAGACAAGAAAUUAUCAUAGAGAUUGAGAGGUGCCCUCGAAGGAAAACCUCUUCUCUAAUUAAUAUUUCUUUUUAGGCUUAGCAACCAAUGUAAAGUAGAAAUAGAUCUUCUAGUUUCUACUAGAUUGAGAGAAAUAGAGUGGAGGUGU